GGCUGAAGAGGGGGCCUCCGUGUGGAAUGUUGCAUUCCAGUAACCACUGCUGGCUUUGUUGGACUGUUAACAAGGAAUGUGUUUAUUGUAAUACUUCACACCGUACUGAAUCCACACGCAUGCAUUAGCGUUCCUGCUGCAGCUCGAAGUGAUUGCACAAUCUGGCCAUGCAUCUGGGUCGCAGACCAUAGACUCUCAGAGAGAGAGGGGGGCCUAGCAAGUGCCAUGUGAGAGAACAAAGGUUUAUGAAGCACCUUCCUUGGGCCUGGGCCUGGCACUGUGCUGAGCGGUAAGGCACAGAACACUGACUAAAAUCCAGCCUUCAAGGAUCUGAACCUUCAGACAAAGGACCAGAAAAUUACACUACUUCUGUGUGUGGGCUUUGAGGUUGAGGAGUUUGGAUAGAAAGGGGAUCUACAGUCCAGAGGCCAGAAGCACUGUGAAGUCACUGAGUAUCUGGGAAUUUAGAAGGCCAAAGGAAAGCUCGAUGUGGGGAACAUGGAGAUCCGGAGAAGGGAGAACACAGCCUGUGGAGAUACAAAUCCGUUUUUCCCCUGGUUUUUAUUUUUCUUUCACAACGUACGUAAGACUUUCAUGAAAGGAAUAUUGUUCAUUCCCAGGUAAAGAAUGGAGACUAGGGACAUUGGGCUGAAACUGAGAGACUGAGCUAACAGAAAGCACAAGGCUCAGUUUUGCAGCAUUCUGUUUGUCCUCAUGGUUUUGAUAAGCAGAUGAAUUUAAUGGAGGUAGCUACUCUCCAGCCAUUCCCCCUUGCUCACCACAGCAGGUGGUUCUGGACCACAUCAGGCGCAGGUAAAAAUAAAGCCCCACCAAAUGUUACCUCAUGCCCACAUUUAAAAUCACAGAUCAAGGAUCUGUGAAUCUUGCAUCCUGGUUUCAGGUUCUAGCAUUAUAUUUAACCUCAAACUAUCCAGUACUUAAGAUCCAUUAACACAAUCAAUAGAGAAUAGGGUGUAUUUGAAGAUAGGGUUGCAGCUGUUAAGUUCAAAAAUGUGUCUGAGGAAUGCAAUCUUGCUCUGCUUGUCUUAUCUGCUUUUUGUUCAGGCAUUUACAAAUUCUGUUCAGAUUCUUGAAGUGAAAGUGAGUAAGUAUAUUUUUAAGUUUUUCUGUGGAAAAAAAGGAUAAUAAGUGAAAACAUUCUGGAAGAUUCAUUUAUUUAGAAUACUUUCCCAGUAGCUCAGUGUGUGUGUGAGACAUUUUUAUGGAGUUAUUUCGCAGAAUUUUAAAACUCUAGGGUAUGAAAACAUCUGAUUGUUUGCUUUGAAAAAUCUGAGUCCUCAAUUCUUGAAGUCUUAAAAUGAAUGCAUAAUUACCUUAUAAGCCAUCGUGCACAUUAGUUUGCAAAGGAGAAAAGCCAGGGAACCAACUUUGCUUAAAUGGAAUUAACUUUCACAAUUAAAUCCUCUUUGGGGUGUGUGCUUCCUGAAUCCCAAAGAUGGCUGUGUUCCCAAGGCGAUGUGGAAAGACAGAGAGGGUGUUGCAAUACAUCCCCAUGAGAAUGCAAAUUUAAGUCUGAAUAUAAAAUUAAAGACAUCUGUAGGAAUAAUGAAAAUGUGUGACUUAACAUCUAGUGUCCCAAACCAAGUGAAACACCCAGGGCUUGGCAAAUUGAUCUAUCUAUCCAUUUAUCUACCUAUCUAUCUCAUCAGUUAAGUGAUAAUGUGAAGGGGGAAGCCUGAGAUAGUCCAGAUUAACCACCAAGAGAAACUGAUUAAGUAUGUCCCACUUUAUCCCUUAUUUAGGAAUAGAUUUUUCACAUAAAGAUAUCCAGUUGGUUGACUGUUUCAAGCAAUGUGUGUAGGUUUAGUUUUUCUUGAUCACGGUGUGAUAGGUAGAACCUAUAACAAAUUUGAAUCAUUUGAAUGUUAUCAAUAGGAAAAACACUAAACAGAAUAACUAAAUGGGGAAGCAGUUUAGUUUACUGUGAAAACACACGCCACUGAGGUCUCUGGAACUUUGAGCAGAGAUUUUACUGAUAAUUUUAUUUCUGCUGCUAAUGUUCAUGAACAAAUCACAGUAACUCCCUGCAUUGUUUGCUCUUCUUGAAAAUAAGGGGGAGAGGGUUGGACCUGAUUGUCUUAAGCUCUGUGAUUCUCCCUGUCCAAAGAUAGAUGGAAUUUUCGGUAUAUCAGAGAGGUAGCUUUCUUUAAACUUAAUGACGGUAGUGUGGUAUCUCAGCUAUUUUCAUUAAUUAAUUAUGUGAUACUUAAGAUAAAUAAAAGAUACAAGGAAUUAAAUGAUAGUCACAUCAUUAUAUAAAUUACUGGGUAAAAAUGGUGGCUUCAAAAUACACAUAUCAUUUCAAUCCCUUGUGAACUCCCACUUAGGCUACACGUAGAUGAAAUUUUAUUUGGGGGCAUAAACUUACAAUGACAAGGAGAAUAUGACUGUCUCCACAAACUGAACAGUGAGAACCCACCUAUGAAUCACACGUAAUAGACACUUCCUAGCUGGUCUCUUCUUUUUAUGACCAGGCUUAGUUUGUAUUUUGUUUCACAGCCAAGGGGAAUCCAUAGCAACAGCAUUUGAGAAGCUUAAAAAUAGAUGCAUGAGUGGGAAUUGACAGUAAACCUGAGAAAGCCAAAUCUUAAACUGAUAUUGGGAAAAGAUGAGAACCAAUUAGGUUUAUAUCACACAGUCCUGAAAAACCUCAAC
Molecule: long non-coding RNA, 2676 nt
Organism: Ailuropoda melanoleuca (giant panda)
Lineage: Eukaryota; Metazoa; Chordata; Mammalia; Carnivora; Ursidae
Exons: 4
Source: RefSeq, a predicted model, not a curated record